Molecule: long non-coding RNA, 1363 nt
Filed under: Salmo salar (Atlantic salmon)
Lineage: Eukaryota; Metazoa; Chordata; Actinopteri; Salmoniformes; Salmonidae
Description: lncRNA (ENSSSAG00000105956.1)
Source: RNAcentral
GGGACAGGAGAGGAGGGGUGGGACAGGAGAGGAGGGGUGGGACAGGAAAGGAGGGGUGGGACAGGAGAGGAGGGGUGGGGUUAUGAGGAGAGUGGGAUGUUUACUGUUUCCUAUUCCCUAUAUUGUGCCCAUAGAACUCUGGUCAAAGGUAGUACACUAUAUAGGGUGCCAUUUGGAAUACUAUAAAAAAAAAAAUGUCUCAACACUCACGAGCAGGUAUCAUCAUCAACAGUCAAGACUAGUGAAGAAUGAGAAUGUUAUCUAAAGUAGGCCACUACUCGGCUCAGCAGUGGCCUGAAGACAUUCACUAAUAAGUGGUUACAAGUAGUUAUUCGUUUUCUGUCCAUCGUAAUUUACGUUACAUUCAACAAGGGGAGCAAAAAGGACUUGAUACUAAGUCUACGUUUACACACGCAGCCCAAUUCUCAUCUUUUUUUACACUAAUUGUUCUUUUGACCAAUCACAUCGAAUCUUUUCACAUGAGCUGAUCUGAUUGGCUGCGUAUGUGAAAGCAGUCCAUUUAAAUCCACUAAGCUAUUUUGUCGUACAUCCGCCCAGUGUUGUCAUACUUUGAGUCACAUGCUAUGUUAGUCCUGAACAGCACUGCAAACUCUAUUGUUCUUUUAUUUAACUCACAACAAAAACAGAUUGUAUCCAAUUUAUUAUUUAAUAGGCACUUACUAUAGUCAUUUCUUUUUGUAUUUAACCUAUGGAGAUGGAAAACUUGUUUUUUUUAUGAAGUUAAACAUGUGCUCUUUAUGACAGAAUAUUAAAAUGAGGUGAAAUCAAAAGUUAAUUUUGACCAAGUUACACUUCUCAAAAGGCACUGAAUUGGUGGAAUGACCCAAGAGGUGUGAGCUGUGAUUGGAGCUAAUUGGUCAAUCAGGACUUCACUAUAGUCAUUAAGCUGUGAAGCUGAUUGUCCAGAGUUUCUCUGUGGCGACACACACACACACACACUGUCACACUCUUGUCAAAGAGUGAGUGAAAUGUCUUCAUCAAUUUGUACCCAUUAUCAUGUCAAUAGGCAAAGAGGGAGAGAGAGAGGGAGGAGGGGAAGUGGAGGGAACUUCUGUAAUACCAUCUGCACACACACAGACAUCACAAACAUCUUUCUGCCCACCCCUCCCGAGCAGAGCCGUUUAAUUAGACUAUUUCGUUCUCCUGAAAUAGUGUGUUGACAGACAAAGCCUUCAUGUUUAUUAAACAGGAACACAGUAUAUCAGUGUCACGACGUUAGGAGACUGCUGCAUAAUCUCCUGUUAUUUCUCUGUAUACAUUACAACCCAUGGCCUUUCUAUGUAACACAAUCAAGUGGAGCUUGUUUUCCGUAUCAAUUAAAAAUGCAACUGUUAAAAUAUUA